Long non-coding RNA from Papilio polytes (common Mormon), 367 nucleotides. RefSeq lists it as uncharacterized. The transcript has 3 exons. Lineage: Eukaryota; Metazoa; Arthropoda; Insecta; Lepidoptera; Papilionidae. The record is from RefSeq and is a predicted model, not a curated record.
CAUCAAUGAAUAAAAUUCAACGUUUUUUAAUAUUGCAUUUAAAGUAUGUUAGAUAAAUCAAAUAACAUUUGUUAGAAGUGCCUGUUUAUGUCAUCAAAAACCCCAUAAAUCUUAAUAAAAACCAUUCUAUAGUACCCACGCUAUAGCCAACCAACGUAUACUAAAAUGAACCACCCAUUUCGCUACAGAACUCUAAAUUGCUUAUCCAAAAAACCUGGACCCAAACGUUUCCGAAAAUACCACAUUAUUCCUCCAUUUUUUGACGAUUGAUAAUUUUCUCGAUGUCAAUAUUAAAAACUAGUCUUUCAACUUUUGACACUUCUCUUGACACUUGUCAAAUCGUUGUCAACGAUUUAUUUUUAUCAAG